CACCAUCUCUAGCUUGUAUAUCUCUUUAUAUAAUUAAUUAAUUAUACAAAAAAACUGAAUGAAUUUGGAAUUCCAACAAAAGAAAAGAGAGAAAAAAAAAUACCCAGAUAAGAAAAUAAAUAAUGGAAUUUAUAAGUAUUUAUAGACAAACUGAUCACUCCAAGAAAACCCAAGUCAAUUAAUCAAAAACCCAUUUUCAGUAAUUUACUAAAUAUAGAAAGGGGAUAAAGGGAUGGAAGUUGAUCUGAUCCAAAAUAGGAAAAACCAGACAAAAGGUCUUUCCUUUUUUGUUGAACUAGAUCUGAAAGGAAAGUAAGAAAAUAAAGGGAAAAAAAUUUGUCGAAAUAAGAAGGAAAGUAGAAGCAUCAAAACCCUAGUUAGGAAAACUUCAUAGGAAGAUGGAGAGAAAAUUAAAUAAAUAGAUUUUCUCAAUUAAACCCUUUUUUCCCCUUUCCCUUUUGCUAAUUGAGUUUGGACCAAAGAACAUGAAUGAUUAAAAGAAAGGUCAAGCAGGGACAAAACCUCAUCGUCUUUUUUCUGCUUUUGGUUAACUCACAAGUUGAAC
This 565-nucleotide long non-coding RNA is filed under the name Panax ginseng (ginseng). RNAcentral's name for it is "long non-coding RNA (PGIN_LNC015181)". The record is from RNAcentral. Lineage: Eukaryota; Viridiplantae; Streptophyta; Magnoliopsida; Apiales; Araliaceae.